GGCACUAUGGCCGAGUGGUUAAGGCGACAGACUUGAAAUCUGUUGGGCUCUGUCCGCGCUGGUUCAAAUCCUGCUGGUGUCG
RNAcentral lists this transfer RNA (82 nucleotides) under Saccharomyces cerevisiae (brewer's yeast). It matches the Rfam family "tRNA". From Rfam's summary of the family: Transfer RNA (tRNA) molecules are approximately 80 nucleotides in length. Lineage: Eukaryota; Fungi; Ascomycota; Saccharomycetes; Saccharomycetales; Saccharomycetaceae. The record is from RNAcentral.